RNAcentral lists this transfer RNA (71 nucleotides) under Marmota monax (woodchuck). RNAcentral describes it as "tRNA.Ala". It matches the Rfam family "tRNA". Rfam says of the family: Transfer RNA (tRNA) molecules are approximately 80 nucleotides in length. Their secondary structure includes four short double-helical elements and three loops (D, anti-codon, and T loops). The record is from RNAcentral. Lineage: Eukaryota; Metazoa; Chordata; Mammalia; Rodentia; Sciuridae.
GGGGUUGUGGCUUAGCGGUAGAGCGCUCACUUAGCAUGUGUGAGGCACUGGAUUCAAUCCUCAGCACCACA